CAACCACCCAGUUUGGGGUCUAGAGGAUGAGGUCAAGCCUCCCUCUGAGCUCUGGCGUGGCUGCUUACCAAUUCCAUUUGGAACCCAGAGAGGGGUCUGGGUGGCAGAGGGCUGCUCUGCUCUGAACUGUGUCCCCCAGCACACUCCUAGGUGGAAGCCCUGAUCCCGAAUAUGGCUGCCCUUGGAGAAGGGCCUAGAGCAGACCAAGGGGAAAUGAGGUCAUAAGGACAAGGCCCUAAUGAUACAGAAUCCAGAACUUUAUAAGAAGAAAUACCGGUGAGAUGCCUCUCUCCCCCGCCACUCACCUGCCCCUGUCCUCCCUCACCACGUGAGCCCAGCAGUCCACAAGCCAGAAAGCGAGCCCUCAUCAAGCUGAACCAGCUGACAACUGGACCUGACCUUCUCAGAACCAGCACCGAGAAGAGAGGCUGAAGUUCAAUCUUGACAGGCAGCAAGCCCGUAACCAAUGGAGCACACAACCCAGAAGACACAAGAAGCCCUCCAGCCAAGAUCCCAGACAGUGACUUGGGCCCUGGAUGAGGCUGCAGCAGUGGGAGGCUGUGGCGUCAGCAGGUCUGUGUGUAUGGUCAUCAGGGAAGGCUUCAUAGCGGAGGCGGUGCUGCGGCAGGGCUGUGAGGGGUAGAUAGGAACCCACCCAUGGACGACAAGCUGAGCCUCUGGGACUUCUGUUGGCUGUGUGCACUGCGCUGGUCUGUUGCACACUUCUCUCAGGCCGCACGAUGAGCCCGGAGGACAAACUGUGCCAUCAGCAUCCUGGUUUUGUUUUUUAUUUGUUUUCCAAUCAGGCUUGGAGAGGCUGCUUCAGGUGCAGUCCGAGGUGGGCCUCGGAUCCAACCCGUCAAGGCCAACCCUUGUGUGUAGCCAGUGGGACAUGGGGUGCUUCCUGGUAACACACUCCUGGGACAGGCAGUCCCUGUAGAGGGAAUGGGUGCAAGACGGCAGGACCUGAAGUGGAUCAGACAAGAACCGGCAGGGACCCUGCCCUGCCCAUCUGGUGCUGGUUAGCCCUCGCUGAGUGACUGUGCCUCUCUGAGCCUUGGUAUCCCCAUCAGAAAGUGUAGGCUGGGCUCCCUGGAGACACUUCUAGCCUAGAGGGUCUUCAGCGUCCCAAGCCUGCUGUGGCAUCUCGGGCUCCAGGCAGAGUUCCCGUCCCCACCCCCAGGGCCCAGCCCUAGGGAGAAGGUGGGGGUGCAGUCAAGCUGCUCCCCACUGGGGCUCCACUCCAAACCCAUUUACAGCAAAAUCGUGAUGGGGGAGGGGAUUCUGAGAUGACCUUGAAGUGGCUUCCCCUGGGCUCCCUCCUGGGGACCGCGAAGGGCUCGGGCGGGUGGGGCAGCCAGGAGAAGGCGCUGGGA
Molecule: long non-coding RNA, 1376 nt
Filed under: Oryctolagus cuniculus (rabbit)
Lineage: Eukaryota; Metazoa; Chordata; Mammalia; Lagomorpha; Leporidae
Description: lncRNA (ENSOCUG00000033863.1)
Source: RNAcentral